RNAcentral lists this ribosomal RNA (482 nucleotides) under uncultured bacterium. RNAcentral describes it as "bacterial SSU rRNA". It matches the Rfam family "Bacterial small subunit ribosomal RNA", at positions 30 to 507 of the family's 1533-position model. The record is from RNAcentral.
AUUGAACGCUGGCGGCAUGCCUUACACAUGCAAGUCGAACGGUAACGGGCCUUCGGGUGCCGACGAGUGGCGAACGGGUGAGUAAUGCAUCGGAACGUACCUUUCAGUGGGGGAUAACGUAGCGAAAGUUACGCUAAUACCGCAUAUUCUGUGAGCAGGAAAGCAGGGGAUCGCAAGACCUUGCGCUGAUUGAGCGGCCGAUGUCAGAUUAGCUAGUUGGUGAGGUAAAGGCUCACCAAGGCGACGAUCUGUAGCGGGUCUGAGAGGAUGAUCCGCCACACUGGAACUGAGACACGGUCCAGACUCCUACGGGAGGCAGCAGUGGGGAAUUUUGGACAAUGGGGGCAACCCUGAUCCAGCCAUGCCGCGUGAGUGAAGAAGGCCUUCGGGUUGUAAAGCUCUUUCGGCCGGGAAGAAAUCGUAUGGGUUAAUACCCUGUGCGGAUGACGGUACCGGCAUAAGAAGCACCGGCUAACUACGUG